UUCAGAAUUGCUAUAAUUUUGCAAAUUUUUUAGUUACGGAGGUAAAUUUGAGGGAACAUCAGAGAGAAAAUAUUAUUCUCUUCUCGUUAUUUCUAUAAGAGAGUCUGUAUAAAAUUUCUUUUUAUUUUACAGAAGAAAGUAUGCAUCAAGGCCAAGAAGGAGCAGAAUACACGUGUUUCAAAGGACAGGGAGGGAUGCGCCUAGAUACCUGGGUUGAUAUUUAAUAAAACCAAAGCGGUGGCCAAGACAAAGGGAUACUUGCUCUGAAAAUACGAGGAGCCAACGCAGGCAAUAAGCGGGAAAUUUUAAACGAAAGAUCGGCGAAUGAUUCAUCGAUGGAAAAGAAGGAGCGUUGAAUUGUCGUGGACGCGCCACCCUCUGGGUAGCCCAGUAUCGUGACCCAGUCUGGGUUAAAAGUGUUACAGAAUGGCCACUUCCGCAUAGCAGUAAUUUUCGAAAUCCAUCACUGUCUCCCUUCUUUCACGUUGAGGAUUCUCGAAGGAGGAACGUAUCUACGAAAAAGGUACGUAUCUCUCUCUCUCUUCCUCUCUCUCUCUCUCUCUUCCUAGCACUAAAAGCACCGUAAUUACAGAAGCGGUUGAUCGCAUAAAGCUCAUCCGCGGAACAAAUUACAUCAGCGGCCGAUUAUAUAAUUCGAGGCCCGAUGUAUUGAUCUAGCCGUCGAUCCCUAUCGAACGAUCUACCCUCCCUAGCUUGCCGUUCCACUGUUUAUCUUCUUAAAGGGGUUUAAACGGGUGCCGCGCAUUCAGCGAAAGAUCUCCUCUGGUCGGUUCAUCUUGAUCGUCGAUCCGCUCGAGGCCUUGGCAAUCGAACGACGAGAGAGAGAGGAACGAGACGAAAUAAUAGGGAACGAGGUGAGAUAGGAGAGAGAGAGAGGGGAGAGAGGUUAUACAACGGUGCUUAUAGCGAUUAAGCAGCGUCAGCAUCAGCAACUGCAGCAGCGAGCCGACCAGCGAGCCGGCAGCAAUAGGCACACCGGAAAGCAGCGGGAACAACAACAGCGGCAACCAGGUUGCGGCUGUAACGUGGCUCUCGCAUUGGCAGCGAUAUCGAUCGAACCUUCGCCUUUCACCGGCCAUUGUCCAGAACGGUGCCAGCGCUGGAAAUCUAACUGCCGAUAAUUGCCUUCGAACCCGUCAAGUCAUACGCUGUAAUAGCAUAAUAACCGGGGCUAAGCGAUCAGAUUAAGGGAAUGACCGCCCUCCCAUGCCUGCGGCAAGGGUAAACCCUUCCAGAUUUGCGUUAUCCGUCGAGCCUCGCUAUCGUUACGAUGCAGUGAGGUACUUUCACUGUUUCUCGUUUCUUUUUCUUCUUCUUCUUUUCUCUGGUAUAUGGAGGAAUUUGUAUAUGGAUGUUUCAUGAUUUGUGUAGAUGUGAUGUAUUUAGAGUGGGUA
Molecule: long non-coding RNA, 1415 nt
Organism: Apis dorsata (giant honeybee)
Lineage: Eukaryota; Metazoa; Arthropoda; Insecta; Hymenoptera; Apidae
Exons: 3
Source: RefSeq, a predicted model, not a curated record